This 430-nucleotide ribosomal RNA is filed under the name uncultured Alphaproteobacteria bacterium. RNAcentral describes it as "bacterial SSU rRNA". It matches the Rfam family "Bacterial small subunit ribosomal RNA", at positions 958 to 1385 of the family's 1533-position model. Lineage: Bacteria; Pseudomonadati; Pseudomonadota; Alphaproteobacteria. The record is from RNAcentral.
AACGCGAAGAACCUUACCAGCCUUUGACAUCCCGGUCGCGAGUACCAGAGAUGGAACUCUUCAGUUCGGCUGGACCGGAGACAGGUGCUGCAUGGCUGUCGUCAGCUCGUGUCGUGAGAUGUUGGGUUAAGUCCCGCAACGAGCGCAACCCUCGCCCUUAGUUGCCAUCAUUCAGUUGGGCACUCUAAGGGGACUGCCGGUGAUAAGCCGCGAGGAAGGUGGGGAUGACGUCAAGUCCUCAUGGCCCUUACAGGCUGGGCUACACACGUGCUACAAUGGCGGUGACAGUGGGAUGCAAUGGAGUAAUCCUGCGCAAAUCUCAAAAAGCCGUCUCAGUUCGGAUUGUGCUCUGCAACUCGAGCACAUGAAGUUGGAAUCGCUAGUAAUCGCAGAUCAGCACGCUGCGGUGAAUACGUUCCCGGGCCUUGUA